UGGACCUCCUGUGCCUUCCCCGCUGGAUCUUUUCACUUUGCUUCAUCUUUUAAGCAGUUUUUCAAGGAUCUAUGCCACUAAAUAAGGAACUACCACUAAGAGAAGAGGUGGACUACAGCAGCCAAGGAACCACUGUAGGAGAGGUACGGAUGGACUCUCAGGAUGGCAGAAAAUGCGCUCUAAGAUGGUGUUUUGGAGAAAACUUUGGAGAAGGCAAGAGAACCCCU
Long non-coding RNA from Fukomys damarensis (Damara mole-rat), 227 nucleotides. RefSeq lists it as uncharacterized. The transcript is spliced from 3 exons. Lineage: Eukaryota; Metazoa; Chordata; Mammalia; Rodentia; Bathyergidae. The record is from RefSeq and is a predicted model, not a curated record.